Molecule: signal recognition particle RNA, 298 nt
Filed under: Aotus nancymaae (Ma's night monkey)
Lineage: Eukaryota; Metazoa; Chordata; Mammalia; Primates; Aotidae
Description: Metazoan signal recognition particle RNA (ENSANAG00000006904.1)
Rfam family: Metazoan signal recognition particle RNA
About the family: The signal recognition particle (SRP) is a universally conserved ribonucleoprotein. It is involved in the co-translational targeting of proteins to membranes. The eukaryotic SRP consists of a 300-nucleotide 7S RNA and six proteins: SRPs 72, 68, 54, 19, 14, and 9.
Source: RNAcentral
GCCUGGCGCAGUGGUGCAUGCCUGUAGUUCCAGUUACUCGGGAGACUGAGGUGGGAGGAUCACUUGAGCCCAGGAAUUCUGGGCUAUAGUGCACUAUGCCAUCGGGUGUCCGUAACAAGUUUGGUAUCAAUAUGGUAGCCUCCCAGGAGUAGGGGACCACCAGGUUACCUAAGGAGGUGUGAACCAGCCCAGGUUAGAAAUGGAGCAGGUCAAAACUCCUGUGCUGAUUAGUAGUGGGAUCGCACCUGUGAGUAGCCACUGCACUCCAGCCUGGGCAACAUAGCGAGACCCCGUCUCU